CCCAGUUGUUGAGGGAGUGACGGGCGAUUUGUGCACAUAAAAAUUUAAAUUUAAUUUUAUAUUUAUUUAUUCUCUAAAAUUAAUAUUAAGUCCUGUUUAUUCUUAAAUUAUUUUAUUUUUGGUUAUUUUAAAAAAAUGUGUUUCAUAUCAUCUUUCUUAUAGCUCCUGUCUUGAUUUGUUUUUUUAUUUUUAAAUUAUUUUGAGUAUUCCUUAAAGUAAAAUCUCGACAAUGAUAUAGGAAGUUAAUAAUUAAGUCCAUUUAAUCGUGGGUUAUCUAUUAAUGUACAAAACCCCCUAAUUGGUUUCAUGCCGCCAUCUCAUUUAGAUUUCGUUUGAUUUAAUUACUAUCCUUAUUUGAUUUAAAA
This 365-nucleotide ribosomal RNA is filed under the name Calepitrimerus linderanis. RNAcentral's name for it is "partial small subunit ribosomal RNA". Lineage: Eukaryota; Metazoa; Arthropoda; Arachnida; Trombidiformes; Eriophyidae. The record is from RNAcentral.